UCUUCGUUAAAUACAAAAAAAAAUAAAUAAAUAAAAAACAUAUAUAAAUGAAAUAUAAUAUUAUUAUAUUAUUAAUGAAAUAAAUUCAACCAUUUUACAAUCCAUCAUGGAUUCAAUUAAAUGAUGUCUCUAUAAAUGUCUCGUACAAACGUGAGAUAUCGCAAUAUGUUGAACAAUAAAGAUAGAUUGUAACGACAUCUUACACGAGACAUCAAUCUUAAUAAGAUAGAAAUUAUAAAGAAGCAACAUUCGCAUAAUUCAAUUCGUUUCUCGAAAUCACUUAAUUCUUGGUAAAGUCUUAUUAAUAAACGGAUUCACAAUAUAAUUCUGUCUUUGUUUGUUAAUUGUAGUCACUGAUCACAUUGCAUCGCACGAUCUGCGAAAUCUUCAUCGCCUUGACUUCAAAAUAGUGACCUUCGUACUUCGUAUUUAAUUUCUUUCUCUCGUGAAAUAAUAUCGUGAUAAUGCUUAUUUUCUGAAAUAGUUGAAGAACCUAACAAUAAAAAUAAUAUUAAAAUUUUGACACGAAACACGAUCAAACGAAAGCAUCACGUAACGCGAAGCCGCGGCAUAAUCCGCGAGGUGGUUUCGCGAGGAGAAGGAAGGCAAAAGAAACCGGGUAUCGGGUCGCAUCUGGCAUCUGCAAUCAACACUCGCAUGGUUCCAGUGACGUCACGUCCGGUCAUCUGCCGAAUAAGCAGAAACCGCGUAACCAGACUCUAUCUACGGGAAAUGAUUUCGAAAAAGGAGCGGUCAACGGAGAGCACGUGUCGUGCAAAACGAAUACGGAGAUUUGGUUAAAUUUUGUAAUCUAAUUAAAAUUAAUAAUCUACUUUAUAUCUAUUUUAACGGAUAUAUAUUCAUAUAUAUUCUACAUACAGAAAUUAAUAUUAAUUAAUAUUAAUAAUUAUCAUAAUUUUAUAUAAAAAUAUUUUGUUUUUUUUAUCUAUUACUUUUAUUUAUAAUAUAGUAAUUGAUUGUGAAUCUAAUUCAUUUUAAUAUUUUUUUAAACUCCUAAAUACAUAGACAAAAAAGAUCAGAA
Apis dorsata (giant honeybee) is the source of this 1042-nucleotide long non-coding RNA. RefSeq lists it as uncharacterized. The transcript is spliced from 2 exons. Lineage: Eukaryota; Metazoa; Arthropoda; Insecta; Hymenoptera; Apidae. The record is from RefSeq and is a predicted model, not a curated record.